This 417-nucleotide ribosomal RNA is filed under the name Babesia felis. RNAcentral's name for it is "SSU rRNA". It matches the Rfam family "Eukaryotic small subunit ribosomal RNA", at positions 455 to 934 of the family's 1831-position model. Lineage: Eukaryota; Apicomplexa; Aconoidasida; Piroplasmida; Babesiidae. The record is from RNAcentral.
GACACAGGGAGGUAGUGACAAGAAAUAACAAUACAGGGCAAUUGUCUUGUAAUUGGAAUGAUGGUGAUCUAAACCCUCACCAGAGUACASAAUUGRAGGGCAAGUCUGGUGCCAGCAGCCGCGGUAAUUCCAGCUCCAAUAGCGUAUAUUAAACUUGUUGCAGUUAAAAAGCUCGUAGUUGAAUUUCUGCGUUAUCAGAUGUUACUUUUUGUACUAUUCUGAUUUCGCUUUUGGUCUUUUGACCUUUUUACUUUGAGAAAAUUAGAGUGUUUCAAGCAGACUUUYGUCUUGAAUACUUCAGCAUGGAAUAAUAGAGUAGGACUUUGGUUCUAUUUUGUUGGUUUUUUGAACCUUAGUAAUGAUUAAUAGGAACGGUUGGGGGCAUUCGUAUUUAACUGUCAGAGGUGAAAUUCUUAG